This is a non-coding RNA of Acanthosepion pharaonis, 111 nucleotides long. The record is from the annotation of a GenBank genome assembly. Lineage: Eukaryota; Metazoa; Mollusca; Cephalopoda; Sepiida; Sepiidae.
UGGCCACAUCAUGUUGAAACACUGGUUCCCAUAUAAUCAUGAAAGUUAAGCAACAUUAAGCCUAGUCAGUACUUAGAUAGGCGACUGUUGGGGAAUUCCAGGUGCUGUAAG